Non-coding RNA from Drosophila virilis, 549 nucleotides. Lineage: Eukaryota; Metazoa; Arthropoda; Insecta; Diptera; Drosophilidae. The record is from RefSeq and is a predicted model, not a curated record.
CUGUUAAUAACAGUGUGCAGUAUUUUUUUUUAUCAAAAGCAACCGUUAAUGGUUUUGAAAAAAGAAUAAAUACAAUUUUUACUUGAAAAUAUAAUAGAGUAAAAAAUUGUAGAUUAAGUGUAUAUUGGUAAUUCUUAGUAUUCCCGAAAGGCUAUAUCCAAUUAAAGUUUUAAUUUAACAGCACUAGCUGUUAAGCUGAUGAGCAAGCAAAAGAAUCCCGCACACUGUAAACUGAUAUAAAACACAUAAGUACCUACCAACAGUGUGGUGAAAAACAGUUGCAGCCGCUCGGGGUGAAAUUUGCAUACUAUGUAAACUAACCAAUCAAUAUCAAUGAUCUUCAUCAAAUAAUUGCAAUCAUCUUCAACUGUAACUAAGCACAUGGCUCUAAUCGUAAUCAAAUGUCAAGCCGCUUCCGCGCAAAUGUUGCUCGGACCAUGAAUCAAAUCUCUCGGACAUUUCAUCGGUCAUGUGAUUUCGCCAGUCGCCAAUUUUGCCUUUGCGUAUGAAUUUCGUCUCCCUCUGAGGAAGUUCACGCUCCAGAUUGAU